Molecule: ribosomal RNA, 3100 nt
Organism: Lacimicrobium alkaliphilum
Lineage: Bacteria; Pseudomonadati; Pseudomonadota; Gammaproteobacteria; Alteromonadales; Alteromonadaceae
Rfam family: Bacterial large subunit ribosomal RNA
Source: Rfam
GGUUAAGUAACAAAGCGUAUACGGUGGAUGCCUAGGCAGUUAGAGGCGAUGAAGGACGUGUAAGUCUGCGAAAAGCUGUGGUGAGCUGACAAAACGCAUUUGAGCCACAGAUGUCCGAAUGGGGAAACCCAGUGCAUUUAUGCAUUAUCGUUACAUGAAUACAUAGUGUAACGAGGCGAACCGGGAGAACUGAAACAUCUAAGUACCCCGAGGAAAAGAAAUCAACCGAGAUUCCCCUAGUAGCGGCGAGCGAACGGGGAGUAGCCCUUAAGUUAUCAGUGUUUUAGUGGAAGGCUCUGGAAAGUGCCGCCAUAGUGGGUGAUAGCCCCGUACACAAAGGAACACUGAUAGUGAAAUCGAGUAGGUCGGGACACGUGUUAUCUUGACUGAACAUGGGGGGACCAUCCUCCAAGGCUAAAUACUCCUAACUGACCGAUAGUGAACCAGUACCGUGAGGGAAAGGCGAAAAGAACCCCUGUGAGGGGAGUGAAAUAGAACCUGAAACCGUAUACGUACAAGCAGUCGGAGCCCCAUCACUAAGUGCCUUUAGUGUUGAGACUCACUGAACAGCUCAAGCUUGAGUGGUUAACAACGACCUGCGAAGCAGCCGUUGGUCAACCGCGCCAAUCAAGCAAUAGGGUGCUUAGUGAUGGGGUGACGGCGUACCUUUUGUAUAAUGGGUCAGCGACUUAUAUUUAGUAGCGAGGUUAACCGAUUAGGGGAGCCGUAGCGAAAGCGAGUGUUAACUGCGCGUACAGUUGCUAGGUAUAGACCCGAAACCCGGUGAUCUAGCCAUGGGCAGGUUGAAGGUUGAGUAACAUCAACUGGAGGACCGAACUCACUAAUGUUGAAAAAUUAGGAGAUGACUUGUGGCUGGGGGUGAAAGGCCAAUCAAACCGGGAGAUAGCUGGUUCUCCCCGAAAGCUAUUUAGGUAGCGCCUCGGACGAACACCUACGGGGGUAGAGCACUGUUUGGGCUAGGGGGUCAUCCCGACUUACCAACCCCAUGCAAACUCCGAAUACCGUAGAGUGCUAUCCGGGAGACACACGGCGGGUGCUAACGUCCGUCGUGAAGAGGGAAACAACCCAGACCGCCAGCUAAGGUCCCAAAAUAUUGCUAAGUGGGAAACGAUGUGGAAAGGCCCAGACAGCUAGGAGGUUGGCUUAGAAGCAGCCACCCUUUAAAGAAAGCGUAAUAGCUCACUAGUCGAGUCGGUCUGCGCGGAAGAUGUAACGGGGCUAAGCAAUAUACCGAAGCUGCGGCAGCGUGCAUCACCAGAAGCUAUUGGAUUAACGUCGACGCGCGAAGCGCCCGACGGUAAAGCGUUCUCAACACAGUCGAGGCUGUAUGGGAAAGCGAGAUGCAGUAGUUUGUGGGAUGCACGCUGGGUAGGGGAGCGUUGUGUAAGUGGCUGAAGGUGACUCGAGAGGGUUGCUGGACAUAUCACAAGUGCGAAUGCUGACAUGAGUAACGAUAAAGGGGGUGAAAAACCCCCUCGCCGGAAGACCAAGGUUUCCUGUCCCAUGCUAAUCAGGGCAGGGUAAGUCGGCCCCUAAGGCGAGGCCGAAAGGCGUAGUCGAUGGGAAACGGGUUAAUAUUCCCGUACCGGUAUUAUCAGUGAAGGGGGACGGAGAAGGCUAUGCAGGCAUGGCGUUGGUAGUCCAUGUGAAAGUGCGUAGGGAGAUGAAUUAGGUAAAUCCGGUUCAUUAAUUCUGAGACACGAGACGAGUCACUACGGUGAUGAAGUUGCAGAUGCCCUGCUUCCAGGAAAAGCCUCUAAGCUUAUGAUAAUACUGACCGUACCCCAAACCGACACAGGUGGUCAGGUAGAGAAUACCAAGGCGCUUGAGAGAACUCGGGUGAAGGAACUCGGCAAAAUAGUACCGUAACUUCGGGAGAAGGUACGCCCCUGUUUGUGAAGGCUUUACGCCGUAAGCGAAUGGGGGCCGCAGUGACCAGGUGGCUGGGACUGUUUAUUAAAAACACAGCACUGUGCUAAAUCGAAAGAUGACGUAUACGGUGUGACACCUGCCCGGUGCCGGAAGGUUAAUUGAUGGGGUUAGCUUAGGCGAAGCUCUUGAUCGAAGCCCCGGUAAACGGCGGCCGUAACUAUAACGGUCCUAAGGUAGCGAAAUUCCUUGUCGGGUAAGUUCCGACCUGCACGAAUGGUGUAACCAUGGCCACGCUGUCUCCACCCGAGACUCAGUGAAAUUGAAAUUGCCGUGAAGAUGCGGUGUACCCGCGGCUAGACGGAAAGACCCCGUGAACCUUUACUACAGCUUGGCACUGAACAUUGACCCUACAUGUGUAGGAUAGGUGGGAGGCUAUGAAGCAUUGUCGCCAGAUGAUGUGGAGCUGCCCUUGAAAUACCACCCUUGUAUGUUUGAUGUUCUAACGUUGGUCCCUUAUCGGGAUUGCGGACAGUGUCUGGUGGGUAGUUUGACUGGGGCGGUCUCCUCCCAAAGCGUAACGGAGGAGCACGAAGGUUGGCUAAUCCUGGUCGGACAUCAGGAGGUUAGUGUAAUGGCAUAAGCCAGCUUAACUGCGAGACAGACACGUCGAGCAGGUACGAAAGUAGGUCAUAGUGAUCCGGUGGUUCUGAAUGGAAGGGCCAUCGCUCAACGGAUAAAAGGUACUCCGGGGAUAACAGGCUGAUACCGCCCAAGAGUUCAUAUCGACGGCGGUGUUUGGCACCUCGAUGUCGGCUCAUCACAUCCUGGGGCUGAAGUCGGUCCCAAGGGUAUGGCUGUUCGCCAUUUAAAGUGGUACGCGAGCUGGGUUUAGAACGUCGUGAGACAGUUCGGUCCCUAUCUGCCGUGGGCGCUGGAUGAUUGAGGGGAGCUGCUCCUAGUACGAGAGGACCGGAGUGGACGAACCGCUGGUGUUCGGGUUGUCAUGCCAAUGGCACUGCCCGGUAGCUACGUUCGGAAUCGAUAACCGCUGAAAGCAUCUAAGCGGGAAGCGAGCCCCAAGAUGAGUCAUCCCUGACAGUUUACUGUCCUGAAGGGUUGUCUGAGACUAAGACGUUGAUAGGCAGGGUGUGGAAGCGUUGUAAGGCGUUAAGCUAACCUGUACUAAUUGCCCGUGAGGCUUAACCAU